AACGAACGCUGGCGGCAUGCCUAACACAUGCAAGUCGAACGAGACCUUCGGGUCUAGUGGCGCACGGGUGCGUAACGCGUGGGAACCUGCCCUUAGGUUCGGAAUAACUCCCCGAAAGGGGUGCUAAUACCGGAUAAUGUCUUCGGACCAAAGAUUUAUCGCCUUUGGAUGGGCCCGCGUUGGCUUAGCUAGUUGGUAGGGUAAAAGCCUACCAAGGCGACGAUCCAUAGCUGGUCUGAGAGGAUGAUCAGCCACACUGGGACUGAGACACGGCCCAGACUCCUACGGGAGGCAGCAGUGGGGAAUAUUGGACAAUGGGCGAAAUGCUGAUCCAGCAAUGCCGCGUGAGUGAUGAAGGCCUUAGGGUUGUAAAGCUCGUUUACCCGGGAUGAUAAUGACAGUACCGGGAGAAUAAGCUCCGGCUAACUCCGUG
This 433-nucleotide ribosomal RNA is filed under the name uncultured bacterium. Its description in RNAcentral is "partial 16S ribosomal RNA". It matches the Rfam family "Bacterial small subunit ribosomal RNA", at positions 29 to 507 of the family's 1533-position model. The record is from RNAcentral.